This 287-nucleotide long non-coding RNA is filed under the name Actinidia chinensis (golden kiwifruit). Its description in RNAcentral is "long non-coding RNA (ACHI_LNC009574)". The record is from RNAcentral. Lineage: Eukaryota; Viridiplantae; Streptophyta; Magnoliopsida; Ericales; Actinidiaceae.
GAAGCCAUGACUGGAGUGGGGUAGGGAUGGCGGAGCAGGGAGUUGAGGCGGCUGUAGGCGGAAUUGGGGAGGGGAGGUGGCACCCAUAGCUAAUGGUGAGGAAGGAUGGGAAUGGGCGGAGAGGGAGGGGAAAGAGAUGGGAGGUGUGGUAGUUGCGGUUGCAAGUCGCCGGCGGCAAUCGUUGCGGCAACUUAGGACGGACUCUGAGGGUUUUGGUUCUUGACAUUUUAGGAUUUGUUAACGUCCUUAUUAGUAAUUUUAUAAACGAGGCAAAAUGAAAAUAAAAA